GCCCCGGUCGUCUAGCCCGGUCAGCCUGCACGAGGGCCGUGAGGAUAUCGGCCUCUCGAGCCGAAGAUCCCGGGUUCAAAUCCCGGCCGGGGCACCA
Molecule: transfer RNA, 97 nt
Filed under: Thermofilum pendens
Lineage: Archaea; Thermoproteati; Thermoproteota; Thermoprotei; Thermofilales; Thermofilaceae
Description: tRNA-Glu
Rfam family: tRNA
About the family: Transfer RNA (tRNA) molecules are approximately 80 nucleotides in length. Their secondary structure includes four short double-helical elements and three loops (D, anti-codon, and T loops).
Source: RNAcentral